Molecule: long non-coding RNA, 654 nt
Filed under: Jatropha curcas
Lineage: Eukaryota; Viridiplantae; Streptophyta; Magnoliopsida; Malpighiales; Euphorbiaceae
Description: long non-coding RNA (JCUR_LNC003070)
Source: RNAcentral
GUCAAACAAUUGGUGUGCUUCAAGAAAAAAUUUUCAUCAACAAAACUCCUUCCUUGAAAAUCAAGAAAAACAAGAAAGGUUAAAAUCAAAUCAAAAUCUGAAAAUCCAAACUCCAAAAAUUAAAAUGAAGUCUUUUGAAUCGAACAUUUACAUUGAAGAUAACCAAAUCACCAAUAACAACACAGAUCACAACUGGCAAACAGUCAUCUGCAUGAAAAAGUAAUGAAGUAGAAGCCUAUAGAUUCUGUCGCUGUUGUUAAUGGCGGUAAAAUCAAAAUCUAACAUGUUUUGCUCCUUGGAGCAGAAUCUAAAAGAGUGAUAUCGAUGACUUUUUCCUAGGGAGUUGAGGUUCGAUACGGAGGCAGUGCCUAUGUCUUGGGCAUUCCGCUUCUACUUCAUCGGCUGAAGAGAAGGUGAAGGUGCAAGAUAAGUGGAGGAGAGAGGAUGAGGAAAUGAAGUUUGAAGUAGAGGCUUGGGAGGUGAUAUUAGUUGGAGAGAUUAAGGUGGCGGAGGCUUUGAUUAGAGGUUGAUAGGUGGUGGUAAUCGUAGAGGAGUGAUAAGGAUUGGUGGCGGUGGUGAUGGAGGGCUGUAAUAAAUAUGUAUUGAUUUUUGUCCAUGGGCAUAUAUUGUCAUUCAAAAAAAAACCCAUCUCAC